RNAcentral lists this ribosomal RNA (500 nucleotides) under uncultured bacterium. RNAcentral describes it as "partial 16S ribosomal RNA". It matches the Rfam family "Bacterial small subunit ribosomal RNA", at positions 30 to 523 of the family's 1533-position model. The record is from RNAcentral.
AUUGAACGCUGGCGGCAUGCCUUACACAUGCAAGUCGAACGGCAGCACGGGAGCAAUCCUGGUGGCGAGUGGCGAACGGGUGAGUAAAGUAUCGGAACGUGCCCAGUCGUGGGGGAUAACGUAGCGAAAGUUACGCUAAUACCGCAUACGAUCUAUGGAUGAAAGCGGGGGAUCGCAAGACCCCGCGCGAUUGGAGCGGCCGAUAUCAGAUUAGGUAGUUGGUGGGGUAAAGGCUCACCAAGCCGACGAUCUGUAGCUGGUCUGAGAGGACGACCAGCCACACUGGGACUGAGACACGGCCAAGACUCCUACGGGAGGCAGCAGUGGGGAAUUUUGGACAAUGGGCGAAAGCCUGAUCCAGCCAUGCCGCGUGCAGGAUGAAGGCCUUCGGGUUGUAAACUGCUUUUGUACGGAACGAAAAGGUUUGGGCUAAUAAGCUGAGCUCAUGACGGUACCGUAAGAAUAAGCACCGGCUAACUACGUGCCAGCAGCCGCCGUAA